This 106-nucleotide small RNA is filed under the name Marinobacter sp. Its description in RNAcentral is "Guanidine-I sequence". It matches the Rfam family "Guanidine-I riboswitch aptamer". From Rfam's summary of the family: This family represents a conserved RNA structure found upstream of the ykkC and yxkD genes in Bacillus subtilis and related genes in other bacteria. The function of this family is unclear although it has been suggested that it may function to switch on efflux pumps and detoxification systems in response to harmful environmental molecules. The record is from RNAcentral. Lineage: Bacteria; Pseudomonadati; Pseudomonadota; Gammaproteobacteria; Pseudomonadales; Marinobacteraceae.
CAAAUGGUCGACUAGGGUUCCGAUCUGCCUUUUCCGAGGCAGAUGACUGGUCCGAGAGUUGACGGCCUUUUCCAAGGCUACACGGCGGGACAAAAGCCCGGGAGGA